Molecule: long non-coding RNA, 330 nt
Filed under: Monodelphis domestica (gray short-tailed opossum)
Lineage: Eukaryota; Metazoa; Chordata; Mammalia; Didelphimorphia; Didelphidae
Description: lncRNA (ENSMODG00000051235.1)
Source: RNAcentral
AUGUCAUUCUUUCUUUUUUGUACUACUAAAAAACAACUCCAAAUGAAGAACCUGCUCCAGCUCCAGCUCCAGCUCCAACUCCAGCUCCAGCUCCAGCUCCAGCUCCCGAACCAACUCCAGCUCCCGCUAAAAGAAGAUAUCAUUCAUUUUUCUGUAAGUAGCAGUCUGUGCCUCAAAAGUCUUUCUUUCCUUUCUCUGUUUAGUUCCUGGAUCUUAUCUCUUAUUUUAGAACACUUGGGCUUUCAUGUCCUUAAAGAAAACUACCCAGAAACAGUAGAUAAUAAUGUACUGCUGAAUAUAAAGAUUGCUCUCCUUACAGAGAAGCACUAG